Molecule: non-coding RNA, 461 nt
Organism: Vigna umbellata (rice bean)
Lineage: Eukaryota; Viridiplantae; Streptophyta; Magnoliopsida; Fabales; Fabaceae
Source: RefSeq, a predicted model, not a curated record
AAUUUUAUUUCUAUUUGAUGUAGGAAUUUUUAUACAUAUGUCUGAAGCUGGUAUUUGUCUUUUGUAAUACAUGUCUUAAGCUUGUAUUUCUCUUGUGACACAGUUAGAGGCCCCUGUAGCAAGAAUUUGUGGUUUCGACACUCCUUUUCCUUUGGUUUUUGAACCUUUCUAUAUGCCAACCAAAAAUAAGAUAUUGGAUGCAAUUAAAUCCACUGUGAAGUACUAAUGAACUUAGUCACCAUUUUUUGGUCAUCUAUAAAACCUUGAUACCAUUCAGUGAUGUGAUGCAUUAGUAAAGUGUAACACGGAAGUAGGUGGUUAUACAAAACUGUUAUAUAAAAAUAUCAACAAAAGAACAAUGGGCAUACACUAUGUAGUGCCUUCAAUUUGAAAGGAGUGAUCCCCAUCACUAAAAGUUUCCUAUUAUAAAUAGAUUUCUCUCUUUAAGUCUUUGGCCUUCA